GGGCGGCGCCUGGCCCCGCGUGACCCCGCGGCGGAGGACGGGCGGGCGCGGGGCUGCGGGGACGGCCCGGGGGUGAGGGCCCCAUAGACCGGCGCUGGCAGGUGAAAGGGGAAGCUUCUCUUUCGCUGGGCCAACCUCCCCUCCACCGACCAGAUUUCCCUCUCUCCCGGGGUCAGUACGAGGGGAGAGUGCAGAGGCCGGGUGGUCCGCCGAGGUCGCCGGUUCUGUGAGAACUCCUGACCCACCGGAGGAAGAGUGUUUUAAAUGUGAAGGUAGCUGUUUUAGUCAUCAAGGUAAGUUGUAGUAACACAUAGAUCCCCAAAUCAUGGCACAAAAGAGCAGUGCAGGGGGGCUGCC
This 357-nucleotide long non-coding RNA is filed under the name Bos indicus x Bos taurus (hybrid cattle). RNAcentral describes it as "lncRNA (ENSBIXG00005026740.1)". The record is from RNAcentral. Lineage: Eukaryota; Metazoa; Chordata; Mammalia; Artiodactyla; Bovidae.